AGUGAACGCUGGCGGGAGGCCUAACACAUGCAAGUCGAACGGCAGCACAGUAAGAGCUUGCUCUUACGGGUGGCGAGUGGCGGACGGGUGAGGAAUACAUCGGAAUCUACUUUUUCGUGGGGGAUAACGUAGGGAAACUUACGCUAAUACCGCAUACGACCUACGGGUGAAAGCAGGGGAUCUUCGGACCUUGCGCGAUUGAAUGAGCCGAUGUCGGAUUAGCUAGUUGGCGGGGUAAAGGCCCACCAAGGCGACGAUCCGUAGCUGGUCUGAGAGGAUGAUCAGCCACACUGGAACUGAGACACGGUCCAGACUCCUACGGGAGGCAGCAGUGGGGAAUAUUGGGCAAAGGGCGCAAGCCUGAUCCAGCCAUACCGCGUGGGUGAAGAAGGCCUUCGGGUUGUAAAGCCCUUUUGUUGGGAAAGAAAAGCAGCAGGUUAAUACCCCGCUGUUCUGACGGUACCCAAAGAAUAAGCACCGGCUAACUUCGUG
This 492-nucleotide ribosomal RNA is filed under the name uncultured bacterium. Its description in RNAcentral is "partial 16S ribosomal RNA". It matches the Rfam family "Bacterial small subunit ribosomal RNA", at positions 29 to 507 of the family's 1533-position model. The record is from RNAcentral.